GUGGGGAAUAUUGGACAAUGGGCACAAGCCUGAUCCAGCCAUGCCGCGUGAGUGAUGAAGGCCUUAGGGUUGUAAAGCUCUUUCAGUGGGGACGAUAAUGACGGUACCCACAGAAGAAGCCCCGGCUAACUUCGUGCCAGCAGCCGCGGUAAUACGAAGGGGGCUAGCGUUGUUCGGAUUUACUGGGCGUAAAGCGCACGUAGGCGGAUCGUUAAGUCGGGGGUGAAAUCCUGGAGCUCAACUCCAGAACUGCCUUCGAUACUGGCGAUCUUGAGUCCGGAAGAGGUGAGUGGAACUCCUAGUGUAGAGGUGGAAUUCGUAGAUAUUAGGAAGAACACCAGUGGCGAAGGCGGCUCACUGGUCCGGUACUGACGCUGAGGUGCGAAAGCGUGGGGAGCAAACAGGAUUAGAAACCCUAGUAGUCC
Molecule: ribosomal RNA, 425 nt
Filed under: uncultured bacterium
Lineage: Bacteria
Description: partial 16S ribosomal RNA
Rfam family: Bacterial small subunit ribosomal RNA
Source: RNAcentral